Molecule: RNA transcript, 2170 nt
Organism: Pipra filicauda (Wire-tailed manakin)
Lineage: Eukaryota; Metazoa; Chordata; Aves; Passeriformes; Pipridae
Gene: RWDD4
Gene name: RWD domain containing 4
Exons: 9
Source: RefSeq, a predicted model, not a curated record
CCCGCUGAAGGCGUGUCCGUGCGGGGGCGGUGGGGCCGCGCAGCCAGGCCCGCCCAGCCCCGGCGGGAACGGGCACGAGCCGGGCCACGGAGAGUGGGGCUGAGGCCAUGGCGGCCAACGAGGACCAGGAGAUGGAGCUGGAGGCGCUGCGCUCCAUCUACGAGGGAGAUGUGUGCUUCAGGGAGCUCAGCCCCGUGUCCUUCCAGUACAGGAUAGGUGAAAGUGGUGAUCCCAAAGCCUUUCUAAUAGAAGUUUCUUGGCCAGAAACAUAUCCACAAACAGCACCAGUCAUAUCGAUGGAUGCUUUCUUCAACAACACGAUAUCUGCAGCUAUUAAGCAAAGUAUAUUGGAGAAGUUAAUGGUAGAAGUUGAAGCGAAUCUUGGAACUGCUAUGACAUACACACUUUUUGAAUAUGCCAAAGACAAUAAGGAUGUGUUCAUGGAAAAUCAGCCUGUUAACACUGUGACUUCAGUAAGCAAUAGUAUUGCAAUUGGAACUCCUGAUGUGCCUGCAAGUAAGAAAAAAGAGAAAAAGGAACAGUUAUCCAAAACCCAGAAACGAAAGCUAGCUGAUAAAACAGAUAACAAAGGGGAGCUUCCACGAGGAUGGAACUGGGUGGACGUAAUUAAGCAUACAUUAAUACUACUGAGAUAAUACUCCGGAAUGUGAAGACCACAGGCAUAUGGCCAAGUUACUUUCAGUUCAUCCUUGAGGGGAGAGAGCUACCUUCAAAUGGAACUUGGCUGCAAAGAUCAAUAACCAGUAAUUGACUGUUACUACAAACAAGGCAAAAAAUACAACUGUUAUUUGAGACAUUGUGGUUAUACAGACUUGUUCCAGGCAUGUUCAACAUAUACAGAUAUUAGAUGUUUAAACAUUGCCUUUCUUUAAGUUUAGGGCACGUAGCUGACAAGACAACAGGAAAAGCACAGUGUUGCCUUUGAAAACACGACUGAAAGCCUUAACAGGUGAUUCAGCCAAAAAGAGCACACAAAAUGUACUACUUUCUAUAAUUUGGGGGCUGGAUUCAGAACUAACAUAAUGAGCAUAAUGCUGAACAUUGCUAGAAUCAUCCAGUUACAAGCAAGUUGAACAUAAAGAGUUAGCCAAAGGACUCAUCUUUGCAACAUCUCGAUGGGCAGACUUUUUUAGACCAUGUCUCAGCCAAAUUAUAGCCAAAAAAAUGGAUUUUUUUUUAAUUAAUAAUUAAUUAUGAGAGCUCACAACUCCAAAAGUGAGCUCCCACUGGUUUCAGUGAGGCCAGGAUUUCAGCUCUGUGUUGCAACUGGAUACAUAUAUAUCUGCGCUGGGAAACUGGAGAUGACUGCCAUGGAAUUAUUCAAAAGAUUCAUAAACCAAGCCACUUCAAACAUUAAAACACAACAAAGACAACUCUGUAGGCAGAAUAAUUACUAGUCAUAAAUUGUGAGUGGUUUGGGGUUUUUUGUCUUGGAGGUGUUGUAUGCAGGAAUCUCAGUGCUGGAGUGGUUACAUUGUGAAACAGUAAAAUCAGAAUGCUAUGCUGUUAGAAUGGAAAAGAUAGAAAUCAUUGAAAUUGAGCUGAUGAAGGAUACAGAACUCUUUGUAUUUACAAACAAGGGAUUUGCCUCUCUUCUGGAUUCUCUAACACUCAUUUUUCAUAUACUAAAUACAAAUUUACUCAUAAAAUAAGUUUGGGGGGUUGUGCAUGCUUAUGGGCUUUUUUUUUUACAUUUCUGCAAAGCCUAAUUAAACAAGACAUUUGCUUAGAUAAUUAAUUACACAAAGCAGGCAAGGCAUUUUUUAAAUAUAUUUUUACUAGACUCUGUUAACUUAUUACCUUUUGAAAAAAGUAUGUGAAGAAACAGUCAGGUCACUACAUCGUCCCUUGCCAAAGUAAAGAGUACAGGAUUCUUGAGGAAUUCUACUGCUUGGCCUCUCUGAAAUUAGGUAAGAGUUUGUCUCUGGCACUGACUGCAUCAUCCACAAAGUUUUAUGUAUAGAAAAAAAUCAUAUGUUUGUGUUCCAUAAAACUAACUGCUAAAUACUUUUAAUUAGAAUGAUUGGUCAGUCAACCAUCUUAAUUUCUUUUAUUUUCUUGAGUCACAAUAGUUGUUAGCAUAAUGGUAAUUCUCUUAAAAUCCAUCAGAUACUUGAGGAAGUCUCUAAAUAAAGUUACCAUCUGAAAA